GUCAACUUACAUAGGCAGCAUACUCUGCAAUACUCUGUCUUCUAUCAUUUGUAGUGUAUUUUAUUGUUUUUCUAACUGUAUGUGUACUGUGAGGCAGAGACGUCACCUGACCUCACUUAGCGCACCCACCCAAAUUAAAAAGGAAACACAAGUUUCCCCUGUCCCAAGGUGGAACAUAAAAACAGAGCUCUCCCAUUGCUCGCGUUUCCACCGGGAUACGUUAAGUUGCCGGACCAGGAAGUGCAGCGGUGCGAGCGCCAUGCAGUAGUUCUGACCAAACUCCCCUUGGUACGUUGCCAUAGGACAGCGGAUACAGCGAUGGGUGCUGGUGUUGUAGUAAUGUCCUGGAGAGCAGUGGACUUCAAGAGACAAGCACAGGGGCCGUUGGGCUGCCAUUAUUUACCUCCACACUCUGACAUAUUUCGAGCUCCGACUGUCUUGGAAAGUUCUCGUCCUUCAGCCCCAGGACAGACCUCACAGGACAUCUGUCCCUCCUCAUCUUGAUAUGUCCCAGCUGGACACGUCACGCACCUUCCCUGGUCUGCAUCAUACAUCCUUCACACGUUCUGCAGUGAUGAGCCUCGUGGGAGGAGAAAGGAAUGAUGUCAUUUCCAGCCAAUAACAAUCAACCUGCACCACAGCCAUCCUCCCUCUCUCUUAGUUGCACAGCAACACCACAGCUUCCCCCCUUGAGAGCUGCUUCCUCCUCCCCCCAGACUAAGGCGUUUGGUAAACCAUUUGCCGUUGUAAUGGAUUCAAUCAGUGGAGCACACUUUAAAAUAUUAUCGUGUCCUGAGGCACAGACACACACUGUAACAAACAAGAACUGCGUGAUGUAAAAUGGUGUGAAUCAGCAGGUCUAUUAGGUUAUCAACACUCACAGUGUAACAACCAAUGUAUGUAGACUACCGUUUUGACAACCAAUUAAUCAUUUCCUAAAAAUUUGUGUGGCAAAUAAAUCUCUACUAACAGGCCUCGAGGGAGGACCAGAGAUGUCACAUUUCAUUUGCUAAAAUGAUUUUUUUUGGUACAGUCAAACUGACUUACCUGUACAUGUCAAUGUACUGAGUUCGAUACAAAUGUUCUAAUAGACAUUAGACAAAAGCAAAGCAAAGGAAAAGGCCAUGACUAACUUCCUGGUGUUUUGAUUGAUGGAGGAAGCCGUUAUAAGACCAAAUCACCCCCUGCUUUGACCAAGGCUUCAAAACAGUCUAACACUGUUUUUCAACCUUAGGAUCGGGUCGCCUGAAAUGUCUAGUAAUUGAUUUUUAAAAAAUGAUCAAAAUAUUUUUUCAUAGAAUCAUCAUUCUAUUUAAAAUUAUGAUUAAAAAACACACACAAUCUUAAACAACUGCAUUCUUCCACUUUCACUGUGUAUUUGCAACACAAAAUAACAAAAAUGAUCAAAAAUUAAUUCUAGAAAAAAAAAAGUCCUGAGUGUCGCCUGAAAUUUGGGACGUCAAAAUGGGUCAUAAGCCAAAAUAAGUUGGGAGCCUCUGUGGCCUAGAAACUAACAGAAACUGACACGAGGUUUUGUAACUUCCUAGAUAGAAAUUCUGAAAGAAAUGUUAAAUAUUUGUUUUUAAAUAUAUAUAUCCAUCAUACAGGACAGUUUAAUGAUGCCAAACAGAAAAAUCUUUAUAACGUUAUAACAGACUAGCUAGAAAUGACUGAAUGGCAUUGCUAUUAAUAACUGCUUGCUUUUCAAGUGAUUGUACUGCAUUGGAAACUAAAUGUCAAAUAAAAAUAAAAGUGAUGCAGAAUGU
Molecule: long non-coding RNA, 1766 nt
Organism: Cynoglossus semilaevis (tongue sole)
Lineage: Eukaryota; Metazoa; Chordata; Actinopteri; Pleuronectiformes; Cynoglossidae
Exons: 4
Source: RefSeq, a predicted model, not a curated record